RNAcentral lists this unclassified non-coding RNA (1600 nucleotides) under Hevea brasiliensis (rubber tree). The record is from RNAcentral. Lineage: Eukaryota; Viridiplantae; Streptophyta; Magnoliopsida; Malpighiales; Euphorbiaceae.
AAAAAAAAACUCCAGAGAAUCAGCCAUUUGUGGGUCAGGUUUAAAAGAACAAAUUCAGUAAUGCAGAAAACAUGUUAAUAUAGCAGCAAACCACACCCUAAUGCUCCUUGUCUUCUGACCUUCUGAAUCAACAAGGGUAGUCUCAGACCAAAACAGUACUAUUAUUUUGUUUGUUUAUUUCCAAGUGAUAAUACAGUGUCAUCGUCAGGCUGCAAAAUGCCCUCUUAUUCAUGUCUCCUCAUCAAAACCUAUCUGGCAAUCCCAAGCUGAAGUAUCCUUGAUCAUCCAAUGGAACAUUGUUGUCUUCCUGCCUGCCUGGAUUCAAGAAAUCGAAGUUGUAAUCGCCACCUGAAGGCACCUGCUGUAUAUGCUGAUGAUCCCCAAUGAACCUAGCAUCAGGGCUCUGCAACUGGAAUGACAAAUCAAGCGGCAGCUCAUGCAGUAGAUGAUCAUUGUCAGUGAACAACAGUUGAUCACUAUCAAAAUCCAGAUUGAGCGGGUUGUUGUCUAUGGCCCCCAGUAGUUCAUCAACACUAAACAUCUCAUCAAUUUUGAAAUUUUGCAAGUAAUCCAUCCCAUCACAUCCAUUACCCCAGCCAUAAUCCUUCACACUCAGAGACUCAUCUUUUGGGUCUUGUUGGAUAUCACAGACACCUUUCUGUUUUUGCUCACAAAUAUUAUUCUGUUGAAUUUCGUCUUUCUCUGGGAUUUUAAUCUCAGGCAUCCUACUCCUUUCACUCUCUGUAACAUCUUCCCGCUCCUCCUUAGCUUCUUGUUUCAGUUUACUCCAUGGUGAGACGGAUUCCAGCUCCUCCUUUGCUUCUUUUUUCAGUUUAAUACAUGAUGAGACAGAUUUAAUUACUUCAGGAGGCUGAAGUUUUAUUUUUGAUUCACCUUCACCAUCCCCAAUUUUUACAAUAUGCUCUUUGGUGUCUUCAUCUGCACAAACUUCCGAAUGAUUGGACGUAGUAGUGGAGUCUGAACCUGCAGGAGUUGCUACAGAAGAAUAGCCAGAUGAGGUUGCAGCCGAGCAGAAAUCCUUUGAUGAGCUUGUUGAAUUUGAUAAUUCAGGAAAAUUCAGCCGGGCAAGAGUACCAUACAUGGCCCGUGCAGCGUUAUCAUAUGCAUGAGCAGCUUCAGAGGCAGUUGGAUAAGUUCCAAGCCAAAGCCUAGGCCCUCUAUUUGGUACCCUAAUCUCCGCAACCCAUUUACCCCAUUUCCUUUGUCUAACACCUCUAUAAAUACACUGCGAGUUCUCAGGCCCUCCUUUGCCCUUCAUACAUCCCUUCCUUGAGCCUUUAGCUGGAAUUUUACGCACCGGUUUAUCAUCUCCAUUAGUACAAGAAUCAAGAUAUUUAUUGUACUCCUUCCAUUUUUGAAGAGUCUCAGCAACAGAGCUAUUGCCCUCCCGCCUCUUCCUCUUCCCUGUAGAAGCCAAGGGCUUAGAAAUUACAUUAGAACCUUGAUCAAAUGUAACCAUCUUCCCCAAUUUUAUACGGUAACUCGUCACAACCACCACCUUCUUUCAAUCAACAAACAGAACUAGACAAAUAUUUAUAAACUCCCCAAUGAAAGCCAAAUAUGAGACUUUCAGAAUCUG